This 407-nucleotide ribosomal RNA is filed under the name uncultured bacterium. RNAcentral describes it as "partial 16S ribosomal RNA". It matches the Rfam family "Bacterial small subunit ribosomal RNA", at positions 28 to 526 of the family's 1533-position model. The record is from RNAcentral.
GACGAACGCUGGCGGCGUGCUUAAUACAUGCAAGUCGAACGCAUUUGCGCACGGGUGAGUAACGCGUAGAUACAUGCCUCAUAGCGAGGGAUAAAAAUUGGGAACGAUAGCUAUUACCGCAUAUUGUGAGCUGGCACUGCGUUUUAUUAGCUAGUUGGUGUGGUAACGGCUCACCAAGGCGACGAUACAUAGCCGGCCUGAGAGGAUGAACGGCCACACUGGGACUGAGACACGGCCCAGACGCCUACGGGAGGCAGCAGUAGGGAAUCUUCCGCAAUGGACGGAAGUCUGACGAAGCAACGCCGCGUGAGUGAUGAAGGUUUUCGGGUCGUAAAGCUCUGUUGUUAGAGAAGCGGUAACUAACCAGAAAGGGACGGCUAACUACGUGCCAGCAGCCGCGGUAAUAC